ACCUGACCCAGCAACGCCGCGUGAAGGAUGAAAUCCCUCGGGAUGUAAACUUCGCAAGAACGGGAAGAAUAAGCCGGUGUUAACACCAUCGGUGAUGACGGUACUGUUUGUAAGCUCCGGCUAACUCCGUGCCGGCAGCCGCGGUAAUACGGGGGGAGCAAGCGUUGUUCGGAUUUACUGGGCGUAAAGGGCGCGUAGGCGGCCUCUGCAAGUCGACUGUGAAAUCUCCGGGCUUAACCCGGAACGGUCAGCCGAUACUGCAGGGCUAGAGUGCAGAAGGGGCAACUGGAAUUCUCGGUGUAGCGGUGAAAUGCGUAGAUAUCGAGAGGAACACCUGCGGCGAAGGCGGGUUGCUGGGCUGACACUGACGCUGAGGCGCGAAAGCUAGGGGAGCGAACGGGAUUAGAUACCCCGGUAGUCCUAGCCUUAAACGAUGAAUGCUUGGUGUCUGGGGUUUUAUAGUCCCCGGGUGCCGUCGCUAACGCUUUAAGCAUUCCGCCUGGGGAGUACGGUCGCAAGACUG
This 523-nucleotide ribosomal RNA is filed under the name uncultured Acidobacteriota bacterium. Its description in RNAcentral is "bacterial SSU rRNA". It matches the Rfam family "Bacterial small subunit ribosomal RNA", at positions 381 to 896 of the family's 1533-position model. The record is from RNAcentral. Lineage: Bacteria; Pseudomonadati; Acidobacteriota.